GUUGGUUUUCCAACUAUAACGAUAAACGAAAUUCGUAAUAAACAUUUUGGACCA
RNAcentral lists this non-coding RNA (54 nucleotides) under marine metagenome. The record is from RNAcentral.